CGCUGUGCUAUCAUGCUAAACAACCGAAAUGCCAAAUUCCUGAUCACAUUCCAUCCACAAAUGAAUGAACAAUGUGAUCCACACAUGCAGAUGCUAUUUCCUGUUCCCCAGGCAGCACACAGACACAGGGGCAGCUAUGAUAGAGGAGUUAACAGAACAAUAAGGAACUGUCCUCCUCUCAGGGAUCACAAAAUAACAACUAUUCCCCACAGUGCUGCACGGGCCACGUCCACAUUUGGUGUCUGGGAAGGGUGAGAGAGGUCUGACUGUGAGAAGCCUGGGCUGGUGUCUGGGAAGGGUGAGAGAGGUCUGACUGUGAGAAGCCUGGGCUGGUGUCUGGGAGGGGUGAGAGAGGUCUGACUGUGAGAAGCCUGGGCUGGUGUCUGGGAGG
Long non-coding RNA from Oncorhynchus tshawytscha (Chinook salmon), 391 nucleotides. The record is from Ensembl. NCBI's taxonomy places the organism in Eukaryota, Metazoa, Chordata, Actinopteri, Salmoniformes, Salmonidae.